Molecule: ribosomal RNA, 234 nt
Filed under: Triticum aestivum (bread wheat)
Lineage: Eukaryota; Viridiplantae; Streptophyta; Magnoliopsida; Poales; Poaceae
Description: partial small subunit ribosomal RNA
Source: RNAcentral
CCUCUCCCACUCGCGCCGCUCCCUAUCCUCUUCCUCACGCCCCGCCUCUCUAUCCCCCUCCAAACCCUAGCCCGCGCUCGCCUCCCUGCCCCGCCGCCGGCCUCCGCCGCUCGCCUGGGCACCCAUCGAUGAUCCGUCUUCCCCUCGCGCGGCCGCGCGUCCUUUGCUCCGCCCCGCCCCGAGGACUGGCGGCCCGCCCACUCCACCUCUCCGCGGACGCGCCCGAGUCCGCGU